CCAUGUUUUGAGAAAUAUGCUCAAGGGUCUGCAGGUGACCAGUGGGUUUAGCACCACGGGAAACCUUCCUCUAACAGCCCGUGUUGACAGAUACCUUUCCAUUUCUUCCAUUCUAGGACUCGCAGCUGUGGAAGGCCAGGUGUUUAAAAUAUGUUAGAUGUGCCUCUCCUUUCUCUACUAGUUUGUUGUUUUGUUUUUUAGCCUUGCCUGGGGCAUGUGGAAGUUCCUGGACCAGGGAUCGAACCCACACCGAAGCAGUGACCCAAGCCGUUGGCUUGGCAACACUGGAUCCUUAACUCAUUAUGCCACAAAAGAGCUCCUAUGCUAGUUUUAAUCUUCUUUUUAUUAGAAAAUGAAUCAAAUAAUCAUAUCUAUUCCUUCACCCCUGAACAUGGCGUUCCCCAAAUCUGGAGCUGUAGGAAACAUUUACUUAGAUUUAACUGUGGCUCCUGUGGCUGGUGGGGCGACCUCCUGAGAGGAGGUGAAGGUCCCUGCUCCGUGGAUGCUGUAGGAGCUGCACCUGGACUGGACGAGGGGCUGGAGGAAGUGGCUCCGCUCUGCAUUUCUCUUUGGCUGUUUUCUCCGUCAUUUGACUGAAACAACUUUUGAUGACUAAUUGAGUGAAUGGUCAAAGCUUAUUUUUUCAAUCAAAAUUCAAUUCCAGCAAAAAAUAGAGGCGUGAGAGGGAGUAAACAUUCAUGAAGCUUAUUUAAGCACCAGGCUUCCUUUCUGCAGAAAAUCAAAUUGCCUGGCAGAGGAAAACAGCUUCUUCCCAUCAAGAUCAUCAGAUUGAGUGUUUUUUACGCUAACUAAUCUGCUUUCCGGCUCAGUUUCCGGCUGGAAGGCAGUUUGGCAAAGCGGAAGGACCGGACGGAUUUGGGAUUAGAAUCUGGGCUGCUGCUUACCAGCUCUGUGACUUCAGAGUUCUCCAGACAUGCUUGGGAGGAAACUUCAGAGGGAAUUCCUUGAGGGUUUCCUGGGAACUGUGGGGCACCAUACCCCUUCCCUUGCGGCAGCAACAGCCCUCAGAUCCUGCCUCAGUGUUCGAGACAGCACUUCUCUACCUUCGUCAGUCCCUGGUGGCUUGUUAAAAAGACUUCAAAGGAGAAACUUCAGACUAGAAACCUCACUUGCCAUUCACAUUUCUUUAAACAUUGAAGAUACAACUGUAAAGAACAUUUCUGUGAAUGCUAAUUAGCCUCCAGAGAGGGAGAAAGAAGAGGAUGGAAGAGAGAGGCAGACACAGAAAAAUGCUGCAGGGAUGGCAGGGGAGCACGGAGUAACUCCUUGGAUUCUGUAAAAUAACCUUUAACGUAUGCCUCAUGAAGGUGAAAAGGACUAACUAUCGACAACAAAAGGAUCUGAUCCCAGAGAUGAGUAAGACUAGAGACAGCGCUGGAGUGAAAUUUCCUUUUUCGAAGAGGCCAACUAAGUGGGUCAGGCUGUCCCCUUCACAAAGACAGUGGAGACCACCCAGAAUGGGGUGCCAUAGAUGCUGGGAGUGUGGGGUGUGAUCUGCGGGUGGCUGUUCAGGCUCUCACCCCCCCCCCUUUUUUUUUGUCUUUUUGCCUUUUCUAGGGCUGCUCCCACGGCAUAUGGAGGUUCCCAGGCUAGGGGUCUAAUUGGAGCUGUAGCUGCAGGCCUACGCCAGAGCCACAGCAACGCCAGAUCCAAGCCGCAUCUGCUUACCUACACCACAGCUCAGGGCAACGCCAGAUCCUUAACCCACUGAGCAAGGCCAGGGAUCGAACCCACAACCUCAUGGUUCCUAGUCGGAUUCAUUAACCACCAAGCCACAACGGGAACUCCUCAUCCCCAAUCUUUCAUUCCUACACCCAUGAACCCCCAGUCACUUACAUCUGAACUCCUGCUUUAAUAGGAAUCACACAAAGAAGAAUCUUUCUUCAGCAGCAGAUACAUUUAUAAACUCUACCUUAUUGAAUUCUAACAAGAGCCAGAUGAAGGAGAUGCUUAGGAAGUACUAUCUCCACUUUAUAAGUGAGGAAACUGAGUAUCAAAAGGUUACACCUGGGUCUGACUCCUAACAGUGGAUCAGGCUGCUUCUAGGAUUUGGGUCUUGAAAGUUUGGUCUGUUGCUAUUGUUUCAAUCUUUAUUUUCCUCUCUAAUUACCAAGUAAAUACAUUCUUACUAAAAGCAUUUUAAAAAUAUUGAAACUUAAAAAAAUAUAAAAAUCAUUAGUAGCCAAUAGUGAUUCUCUUUUCUUUAUGGCUCUGAUAAAUACUGUCACUAGUAAGAAGCUCUGUUAGAAAUGCUUUCAGCUGUUUGGAGUUCCCGUUGUGGCUCAGUGGUUAACAAGCGUGACCAGUCUCCAGGAGGACGCAGGUUCUGUCCCUGUUCUCGAUCUAGCGUUGCUGAGCUGUGGUGUAGGUCGAAGACAAGGCUUGGAUCCCCUGUUGCUGUGGCUGUGGUGUAGAUCGGUGUUGCCAGAGGCCAGCUCCGGCGGCCAGGGAGUGUAUACUUUCCCGAAGAAGAUGGGCAGAAGUCGGCUUUUGCAUCGGAGACAGUCUCUUUGAUUCAUUAAUCAGGGUGCUGGACUGCUCAAACUUUAUUGGCAACAGUAGUUGAUUAUAUAGACAGUUUUUCACUACAGAUUACAUCACAGUGUUAAAAGUACAUUAGUUAACUAUUACAUGGUAUAGCAGCUAUAUAUCAUGUUUUAAGAUCUCUAUCUUAACUAAACUUAGUGAGUACUUUGAAGAGGCCAUAGACACAAGAAUUUGGCAUUCACAAACCUUAUUUGUAGACUGGUGCUUAUCUUCAAAGCGUUAUGGCAGGGAGAUAGUGUAAGUAAAUAUAAACCCACUUAACUAGCUAUCACUUAAAAGCUUUUGAAAUCAAGGACAAAACUCACAGCUAGGUUUUUUGGAUAAUAAUGUCUAACUUUUAUGAACCUCAUUAAGAGCCUAACUCUAAAGUUUACUAUAUAACUAGUUAAUAGAAAAACACUAUGUUUUAACUAAGUUGGAUUUAAAUAGGGGAAAGUCCUUCAGGAUGAAAUUCUUAUUAUUGUUGUAACUUUGUUAAAUCACAAAUCACCACAGGAAAAUAAGAAUGGAAAAUAAGAACAAUAAGUAAAUAAUCAGGAAAGACUGGGGAAAACUGAAUAACAAAUAAAACAACAGGAAAGACUAGGUCACCUGAGAAACAAUCCAUGUUCUCCAGCACAAACAUGGAAAUUGUUUUCCCAGGAAAGCCCCAAUUCUUCCCCAUCAACAUCAAAAUGAGAGCUGUGUAACCUGAGGCCUGCCCUCAGCUUGUACUGUGCAGGCAGGCUUUUUUCCUGACCAAGAGCCCACCUUCAGCUUGUACCAUUCAGGUGAGGUCCCUGCCUUCAGGUUUUUUUUUUUUUUUGCCAUCAGGCAAGGUCCUUGUUUUGAGUCCCUGCAUUUUUUCGACUCCCCGCAGACCGGCAGCUACAGCUCUGAUUUGACUCCUAGUGUUUGAACAGACAACUCGAAGUCUAGCACAAAGAUAGUGUUUAAAGAGAUGUUUAAAAAAUAGGUUUUUUGGUUUGUUUUAUUUUGUUUGUACAUUAGAAAGCCUGAGCAAUUGCCAUGUUGACUUAGUAGCUCAUCAGUGGAUUGACAUCUUGAAAAUAUUCUUGGUCUUUGCCUUAUGGUUAAAAAAUGGCUAUGUUCAAGGUCACAGCCAUGUUCAAGGUAGUAAGAAAAGGCAAGGGCCUAGCAUCACCUGUUCCUUUAUGAGAAGAGCAGAAGCUUUCCCAGAGGUUCCUGGCAGAUUUCUUCCGUUUACAAAUUAUGGGCCAUAAGCAAGUCACACAGCCUCUCUUACCCUUAAGGGAGGCUGGGAAAAACAUUUUGCCCUUCCAGACUCUCCAACUGAAGGGGAUUGGGAGUGGGAGUUGGGUUCGCCAAUCAGUGGCAUCUGUCACUGUGCUCUGACUGGCCAGGCCUGGUUCACAUGUCCCCCUGGAGUUAGGAUUGACUCUGCCUUCUUCACCUGGCUGAAACUGGUAGAAGAAAACUGGAUGCUGUAAACAUAAAAGGAAGAUGGAUGCAAGGGAGGCAAGAAUGGCAAGAAUAUGCAGAUGUCCAUCAUAUUUUGUAUCUGUUAACAUUUACGGUAUAGCAAAUCACCCCUGAGCUUAAUGGCUGAAGCCUGUGAUUCAUUGCAAUUCCGUGGAUCACUUGAGCAGUUCUUCUGUUCUGGGCCUGCUGAGGUGACUGUUUAGGUCUCUUUCAACUCUGGGUACCUACGAGUUCUUAGUGACGUUAGUUUUCUUAUGUUUUUCCUCACCCUUUCCACCUUGCCCUGCUCCUGGUGUCUGCUAGCAUACUCUAAAGGCUUUGUCGCCUUUUGAGGUAUAUCAUAAUCAGAUGUAAGCAGUCAUUUUUAAGGUUCACCGUUAAGUGCUCCAUACACACAGUUUUGUAAAAUCCUCACCACAACCCUAUAAGGUAUUGUGUCCAUUUGCAGAUGAAGAAACUGAGGCUCUAAAAAAGGUCAGGUGUCUUGUUCAACCUCCCUUAGCCAGUAAUUCUGAGCUAAGGGUCCCCUUAUUCUGAGGUCAGUGCUCUUUUCCCCACAGCACAGCAGUUUACUGGCUUCCUCAGAACGGACCGGGCCCGUCCAACAAUUUAAGCUACUGUUGGAAAUUGUUAUUGAUUCUGGUCAAGAGGAAAUCCUCUUUGAGGAUUCCUUUUUGAGAUUUCUAGAAUUAAGAGAAUUAGAGAGAGAGAGCCCUUAGACUUCAAGGCUAGAAAUACUGCUGCUAUUUACAACGACUGAUUUUUGUGAGUCAGGAUUUUUGUUCUGGGUAACCAAAAUAAAGUUGAGAAGUAAACAAACUACAUGAGAUGGUCACUAUCAUCCAAUAUCUCAAUUUCGAAUUUUUCUGAUCAUCAAAGCAACCUCUUGAUUAUUACUGACUUUAAGAAUAUUAUAAAAUUUAAAUUUUUUAAAAAUGUUACACAAUUUCUAAAGGUUACUUUUCAUUUACGGUUAUUACAAAAUACUGGCUAUACUCCCAGUGUUGUGUUGUCCAAUACAUCCUUGAGUCUACCUUCCAUCCAAUAGUUGGCACUUCUCCCACUUCCCCAUCUCCCCGAUGAUAACUACUAGUAUGUUUUCUCCGUGAGUCUGCUUCUUUUAUAUUAUAUUCACUAGUUUGUUGUAUUUUUUAGAUUGCACAUGUAGGCAAUAUGGUGCAAUAUUUAUCUUUCUCUGUUUGACUUAUUUUACGUAGCGUAAUGCCCUCCAAGUCCAUCCAUGUUGCUACAAAUGGCAAAAUUUUGGUCUCUUUAUGACUGAGUGAAGUAUAUAAAGUAUAUACACCACAUCUUCUCUGUCUGUUCAUCUGUUGAUGAACCCUUGGGUUGUUUCCAUGUCUUGGCAAUUGUAAAUAAUGUUGCUGUGAACA
RNAcentral lists this long non-coding RNA (5402 nucleotides) under Sus scrofa (pig). RNAcentral's name for it is "lncRNA (ENSSSCG00060068592.1)". Lineage: Eukaryota; Metazoa; Chordata; Mammalia; Artiodactyla; Suidae. The record is from RNAcentral.